AUACCCAGUCGAGCGGCGAACGGGUGAGUAACGCGUGGAUGACCUGCCUUGGGGUGGGGGAUAACUCGGGGAAACUCGAGCUAAUACCGCAUACGAUCGAGAGAUCAAAGGGGCGCAAGUCCCGCCAUGAGAGGGGUCCGCGUACGAUUAGCUAGUUGGUAGGGUAAUGGCCUACCAAGGCGACGAUCGUUAGCCGGCCUGAGAGGGUGAUCGGCCACACUGGAACUGAGACACGGUCCAGACUCCUACGGGAGGCAGCAGUGGGGAAUUUUGCGCAAUGGGCGAAAGCCUGACGCAGCAACGCCGCGUGGAGGAUGAAGGUCUUUGGAUCGUAAACUCCUGUCAGCAGGGAAAAAGGCUCAUGGCCACACCAUGAGAUUGAUUGUA
Molecule: ribosomal RNA, 387 nt
Filed under: uncultured bacterium
Lineage: Bacteria
Description: bacterial SSU rRNA
Rfam family: Bacterial small subunit ribosomal RNA
Source: RNAcentral